RNAcentral lists this ribosomal RNA (422 nucleotides) under uncultured archaeon. RNAcentral describes it as "partial 16S ribosomal RNA". It matches the Rfam family "Archaeal small subunit ribosomal RNA", at positions 323 to 746 of the family's 1478-position model. The record is from RNAcentral.
CUACGGGCUGCUCCAGGCGAGAAAACUUUGCAAUGUGCGAAAGCACGACAGGGUUAAUCCGAGUGGUUUCUGCUAAAGGAACCUUUUGACAGUCCUAGAAACACUGUUGAAUAAGGGGUGGGCAAGUUCUGGUGUCAGCCGCCGCGGUAAAACCAGCACCUCAAGUGGUCAGGAUGAUUAUUGGGCCUAAAGCAUCCGUAGCCGGCUCUGUAAGUUUUCGGUUAAAUCUGUACGCUCAACGUACAGGCUGCCGGGAAUACUGCAGAGCUAGGGAGUGGGAGAGGUAGACGGUACUCGGUAGGAAGGGGUAAAAUCCUUUGAUCUAUUGAUGACCACCUGUGGCGAAGGCGGUCUACCAGAACACGUCCGACGGUGAGGGAUGAAAGCUGGGGGAGCAAACCGGAUUAGAUACCCCGGUAGUC